CCUACGGGUGGCUGCAGUGGGGAAUAUUGGACAAUGGGGGGAACCCUGAUCCAGCCAUGCCGCGUGUGUGAAGAAGGCCCUCGGGUUGUAAAGCACUUUCAGUGAGGAAGAACGCCUGGUGGUUAAUACCCAUCAGGAAAGACAUCACUCACAGAAGAAGCACCGGCUAACUCCGUGCCAGCAGCCGCGGUAAUACGGAGGGUGCGAGCGUUAAUCGGAAUUACUGGGCGUAAAGCGCGCGUAGGUGGCUUGAUAAGCCGGUUGUGAAAGCCCCGGGCUCAACCUGGGAACGGCAUCCGGAACUGUCAAGCUAGAGUGCAGGAGAGGAAGGUAGAAUUCCCGGUGUAGCGGUGAAAUGCGUAGAGAUCGGGAGGAAUACCAGUGGCGAAGGCGGCCUUCUGGACUGACACUGACACUGAGGUGCGAAAGCGUGGGUAGCAAGCAGGAUUAGAUACCCUUGUAGUC
This 465-nucleotide ribosomal RNA is filed under the name Vreelandella stevensii. RNAcentral's name for it is "partial 16S ribosomal RNA". It matches the Rfam family "Bacterial small subunit ribosomal RNA", at positions 338 to 795 of the family's 1533-position model. Lineage: Bacteria; Pseudomonadati; Pseudomonadota; Gammaproteobacteria; Oceanospirillales; Halomonadaceae. The record is from RNAcentral.